CUUGACUCCAGUCCUGGCACUCUAUGCAUUGUGCUACCUAGCUAUGCCAAUAUAUUACUUUCAAAGGUGUACUUGUCUGUGUUUCCUUUUGAAUCUUUCUAUUGGGUGUAUUUUUUAAACCUUUACCUUCUGCCUUAGAAUCAGUACUGUAUAUUGGUUCCAAGGCAGAAGAGUGGUAAGGGCUAGGCAAUGGGAGUUAAAUGAUUUGCACAUGGUCACCCAGCUAGGAAGCAUCUUAGUCCAGAUUUGAACUUGGGGCCUCCCAUCUCUAGUCCUAGCUCUCAAUCCACGAGCCACCUAACUGUCCUCUACUUGUGUUUAUUUUAAAGAAUCAGAAGACAUGGGUUUAAAUUUUGGUUCUGUCACUUAUGGAAAAAAAAGUAUAGUCAGUAACUGCAUGGAAGAAUGCUCCAAAUCACUAAUUCCUUUAUUAGUGAUUUCUUCCUUUAGAUAAUAAAUAUUUGUGGAGGAUGUGGGACACUCAUGCAUUGCUGGUGGAAUUGUGAACUGAUCCAACCAUUCUGGAGAGUUUGGAAUUAUGCCCAAAGAGCUUUAAAAGAAUGCCUGCCCUUUGACCCAGCCAUACCACUGCUGGGUUUGCACCCUAAAGAGAUAAUAGGGAAAAAUACUCAUAAAAAUAUUUAUAGCAGUGCUCUUUGUGUUGGCAAAAAAAUUGGAAAAUGAGGGGGUGUCCAUUGAUUGGGGAAUGGCUGAACAAAUUAUGGUAUAUGAUCGUGAUGUAAUACUGUAAAAAAUGUAAUACUGCAGAUUCUUGAAAGUGUACUUUUCCCCCCAGACAGCCAGUUGGUAAAUAUUUACCAGGUCAGCACUGGAAGGGGCAGGGUUGAGGAGCACAGUACAGAAGCUCCAGGGUAAGAAAACAACCAAGGAAGAGGUAGAAAAAGUGAGGAGAAUCAAGAGAAUAGCUGCUGUAAGCUGUGACUGGUUCAAGCAUUUCCUCAAAUGGAGAUUCCCAGCCAGAACUCAUCAGUGAGAGAAGGGGCCCAACUGAAGGAGUGGAAGCAUCUUCAGGAAGAGAAGGAAGCUGAACAAGAGGUGGAAAAAUCUAGAGAAUCAAAAGCAGAGCCAGAAGAGAAGACUGAAGAGUUAUUUCUCAAGAUGAAGAAUCUUAAUGAAAUGAUGCUGCUGCAAAUGAAAAUAGUUAGAGAUGAACUCCAACAAUGGAUUGAGAAAAACAACAACUUUCUCAAAAAAAUUUACUCAUCAGAAUAUACAAUGCAGGGUUUAUUAAGAGAAAUGACCAAGAUAGACUACCUUAUAGAAAAAUCAGAUGAUGAAGAUAGCAGUCUAUCCGGAAAUGAACACCCCCAAAAACUGGAGGCCAAAAAAUGGUUUAACAAUACUUUUACUGAAGUUCAGAAAUUCAAGACGAAACUUCUUCAAAGGAUAGAGGUAAGAUUUCAUGGUGCAGAUAUUCCAGAACUUAAUUAAGAUAAUUAUAAUAAUAAAAUAUGAUCAUAUCUUUAUAGUAGAAAUAGG
Molecule: long non-coding RNA, 1500 nt
Filed under: Monodelphis domestica (gray short-tailed opossum)
Lineage: Eukaryota; Metazoa; Chordata; Mammalia; Didelphimorphia; Didelphidae
Description: lncRNA (ENSMODG00000038339.1)
Source: RNAcentral